Hippopotamus amphibius kiboko is the source of this 110-nucleotide small nuclear RNA. Lineage: Eukaryota; Metazoa; Chordata; Mammalia; Artiodactyla; Hippopotamidae. The record is from RefSeq and is a predicted model, not a curated record.
GUGUUUGCUUUGGGAGCACAUAUAGUAAAAUCGGAAUGAAAACACUAGAGAAGACUAGCAUGGCCCUGAACAAAGAUGACAGGCAAAUCUGUGAAGCAUUCCUAUUUUUU